UGAGGAAGUAAAAGUCGUAACAAGGUUUCCGUAGGUGAACCUGCGGAAGGAUCAUUAUUGAAUAUAAAUUUGUUCGGACUGUUGCUGGCUUUUUAUAAGCAUGUGCACGUCUGACACCAAUUUUCUUAAUCACCUGUGCACCUAUUGUAGUCCCUUGGAAAAAGUUUUCGAGUUUACUCUUGGUCUGGAGCAAAUUGCAAAGGGGUUAUUAAAUCCUUGUGCUUGUCUCUAUGUUUUCCAAUGGGGUCUAUGUCUUUUUUUAAUUAACUCUGUCUUUGAAUGUUUAAAUGUGGGCUUAAUUGCCUUUAAUUUAUAUACAACUUUCAACAACGGAUCUCUUGGCUCUCACAUCGAUGAAGAACGCAGCGAAAUGCGAUAAGUAAUGUGAAUUGCAGAAUUCAGUGAAUCAUCGAAUCUUUGAACGCACCUUGCGCUCCUUGGUAUUCCGAGGAGCAUGCCUGUUUGAGUGUCAUAAAACUCUCAACCUUGUUCAGUUUUGCUGACUUUGGUUGGAUUGGUGGGGGUUUGCGGGUUUCAUAAAAAAUCUUGCUCCCCUCAAAUGUAUUAGUAGGGAAUGUUUGUGAAAGACAGUCCUUGGUGUGAUAAUUAUCUACUCCAUGACUGUGGAACAAUGUUUUCCUGCUUUCUAACUGUCUGAUGAGACAAUUGUCAUUUAAUGUUUUGACCUCAAAUCAGGUAGGAUUACCCGCUGAACUUAAGCAUAUCAAUAA
RNAcentral lists this ribosomal RNA (731 nucleotides) under Tricholoma sp. G485. Its description in RNAcentral is "eukaryotic LSU rRNA". The stretch from base 319 to 472 matches the Rfam family "5.8S ribosomal RNA". The record is from RNAcentral. Lineage: Eukaryota; Fungi; Basidiomycota; Agaricomycetes; Agaricales; Tricholomataceae.